UACGGAGGUUGCGCGCGGUAUCCGGAAUCACUGGGUUUAAAGGGUGCGUAGGCGGCUCGGUAAGUCCGUUGUGAAGGCCCCUUGCUUAACGAGGGAGGUGCGAUUGAUACUGUCGAGCUUGAAUCGGGAUGAGGCAGGCGGAAUGUGGCAUGUAGCGGUGAAAUGCAUAGAUAUGCCAUAGAACACCGAUUGCGAAGGCAGCCUACUGGGCCUGUAUUGACGCUGAGGCACGAAAGCGUGGGGAGCAAACAGG
Molecule: ribosomal RNA, 253 nt
Filed under: uncultured bacterium
Lineage: Bacteria
Description: partial 16S ribosomal RNA
Rfam family: Bacterial small subunit ribosomal RNA
Source: RNAcentral